CAGCCCGGUAGCUCGUCAGGCUCAUAACCUGAAGGUCGUAGGUUCAAAUCCUACUCCC
RNAcentral lists this transfer RNA (58 nucleotides) under Asterionellopsis glacialis. RNAcentral's name for it is "partial tRNA". It matches the Rfam family "tRNA", at positions 13 to 64 of the family's 71-position model. Rfam says of the family: Transfer RNA (tRNA) molecules are approximately 80 nucleotides in length. Their secondary structure includes four short double-helical elements and three loops (D, anti-codon, and T loops). The record is from RNAcentral. Lineage: Eukaryota; Bacillariophyta; Plagiogrammaphyceae; Rhaphoneidales; Asterionellopsidaceae.